GUGCAAAACCGAUAGCGAACAAGUACCGUGAGGGAAAGAUGAAAAGAACUUUGAAAAGAGAGUUAAAGAGUACCUGAAACUGUUGAAAGGGAACCGUAACAUGUCCAGUGUUGUAUCUCUUAUAUAUUUCAUUAGUACAGUAAUGCACUGGUGCCCUGUAUAAGAGUGUGACGUCAAAGUCAGUUUGUAUAUUGCGGGAGAUGGUUAAUAAGGAGGUGCGUCACUUUUGUGUCAGUUAUACCUUGUUAACUAGUUGCCGUGGUUGAGACUGAGGUGCCUAC
RNAcentral lists this ribosomal RNA (281 nucleotides) under uncultured Oomycota. RNAcentral's name for it is "uncultured Oomycetes partial 28S ribosomal RNA". It matches the Rfam family "Eukaryotic large subunit ribosomal RNA", at positions 326 to 612 of the family's 3401-position model. The record is from RNAcentral. Lineage: Eukaryota; Oomycota.